AAUCCAUGGUAUGGUCUUUUCCUUAUCAUCGACUUUAAACGUUCCCAUGCUUCAUACAUGAUCACCUUCGUAUUGCUUGAAAUUAGUGAUUUCUCACCUAAGUUG
Small nucleolar RNA from Gossypium arboreum, 105 nucleotides. It matches the Rfam family "Plant small nucleolar RNA R71". Rfam says of the family: R71 is a member of the C/D box family of snoRNAs containing the C (UGAUGA) and D (CUGA) box motifs. Multiple nearly identical copies of this snoRNA have been identified in Arabidopsis, and it is thought to function as a 2'-O-ribose methylation guide for 18S ribosomal RNA. NCBI's taxonomy places the organism in Eukaryota, Viridiplantae, Streptophyta, Magnoliopsida, Malvales, Malvaceae. The record is from Rfam.